UUAACUGUAGAACUGGCAUUUGAAACCUUCCCAGACGAGAAAUAACUGGAAGGGGGGCAGAUGGAAUUAGUGGGUGUAGGGGGUAAAAUCCGGUAGAUAUCACUAGGAAUACCGAAAGCGAAAGCGAUCUGCUGGGAAGUUAUUGACGCUGAGGCACGAAAGCGUGGGGAGCAAACGGGAUUAGAUACCCCGGUAGUCCACGCCCUAAACGAUGAAUGCUAGUCGUCGGAAAGCUCGUCUUUUCGGUGAUGCAGUUAACACAUUAAGCAUUCCGCCUGGGGAGUACGGUCGCAAGAUUAAAACUCAAAGGAAUAGACGGGGACCCGCACAAGUGGUGGAGCAUGUGGUUUAAUUCGAAGAUACGCGAAGAACCUUACCUAGCCUUGACAUUGAUAGAAUCUAGUAGAGAUACUGGAGUGCCUGCUUGCAGGAACUUGAAAACAGGUGCUGCACGGCUGUCGUCAGCUCGUGUCGUGAGAUGUUGGGUUAAGUCCCGCAACGAGCGCAACCCUCGUCGUUAGUUGCUAACAGUUCGGCUGAGCACUCUAGCGAGACUGCCUUCGCAAGGAGGAGGAAGGUGAGGACGACGUCAAGUCAUCAUGGCCCUUAUGGCUAGGGCUACACACGUGCUACAAUGGGGCGUACAGAGAGUUGCGAUACCGCGAGGUGGAGCUAAUCUCAUAAAGCGUCUCUCAGUUCGGA
Molecule: ribosomal RNA, 702 nt
Filed under: uncultured bacterium
Lineage: Bacteria
Description: bacterial SSU rRNA
Rfam family: Bacterial small subunit ribosomal RNA
Source: RNAcentral